AGAGUUUGAUCCUGGCUCAGGAUGAACGCUGGCGGCGUGCCUAAUACAUGCAAGUCGAGCGAACGGACGAGAAGCUUGCUUCUCUGAUGUUAGCGGCGGACGGGUGAGUAACACGUGGAUAACCUACCUAUAAGACUGGGAUAACUUCGGGAAACCGGAGCUAAUACCGGAUAAUAUUUUGAACCGCAUGGUUCAAAAGUGAAAGACGGUCUUGCUGUCACUUAUAGAUGGAUCCGCGCUGCAUUAGCUAGUUGGUAAGGUAACGGCUUACCAAGGCAACGAUGCAUAGCCGACCUGAGAGGGUGAUCGGCCACACUGGAACUGAGACACGGUCCAGACUCCUACGGGAGGCAGCAGUAGGGAAUCUUCCGCAAUGGGCGAAAGCCUGACGGAGCAACGCCGCGUGAGUGAUGAAGGUCUUCGGAUCGUAAAACUCUGUUAUUAGGGAAGAACAUAUGUGUAAGUAACUGUGCACAUCUUGACGGUACCUAAUCAGAAAGCCACGGCUAACUACGUGCCAGCAGCCGCGGUAAUACGUAGGUGGCAAGCGUUAUCCGGAAUUAUUGGGCGUAAAGCGCGCGUAGGCGGUUUUUUAAGUCUGAUGUGAAAGCCCACGGCUCAACCGUGGAGGGUCAUUGGAAACUGGAAAACUUGAGUGCAGAAGAGGAAAGUGGAAUUCCAUGUGUAGCGGUGAAAUGCGCAGAGAUAUGGAGGAACACCAGUGGCGAAGGCGACUUUCUGGUCUGUAACUGACGCUGAUGUGCGAAAGCGUGGGGAUCAAACAGGAUUAGAUACCCUGGUAGUCCACGCCGUAAACGAUGAGUGCUAAGUGUUAGGGGGUUUCCGCCCCUUAGUGCUGCAGCUAACGCAUUAAGCACUCCGCCUGGGGAGUACGACCGCAAGGUUGAAACUCAAAGGAAUUGACGGGGACCCGCACAAGCGGUGGAGCAUGUGGUUUAAUUCGAAGCAACGCGAAGAACCUUACCAAAUCUUGACAUCCUUUGACAACUCUAGAGAUAGAGCCUUCCCCUUCGGGGGACAAAGUGACAGGUGGUGCAUGGUUGUCGUCAGCUCGUGUCGUGAGAUGUUGGGUUAAGUCCCGCAACGAGCGCAACCCUUAAGCUUAGUUGCCAUCAUUAAGUUGGGCACUCUAAGUUGACUGCCGGUGACAAACCGGAGGAAGGUGGGGAUGACGUCAAAUCAUCAUGCCCCUUAUGAUUUGGGCUACACACGUGCUACAAUGGACAAUACAAAGGGCAGCGAAACCGCGAGGUCAAGCAAAUCCCAUAAAGUUGUUCUCAGUUCGGAUUGUAGUCUGCAACUCGACUACAUGAAGCUGGAAUCGCUAGUAAUCGUAGAUCAGCAUGCUACGGUGAAUACGUUCCCGGGUCUUGUACACACCGCCCGUCACACCACGAGAGUUUGUAACACCCGAAGCCGGUGGAGUAACCUUUUAGGAACUAGCCGUCGAAGGUGGGACAAAUGAUUGGGGUGAAGUCGUAACAAGGUAGCCGUAUCGGAAGGUGCGGCUGGAUCACCU
RNAcentral lists this ribosomal RNA (1540 nucleotides) under Staphylococcus aureus. RNAcentral describes it as "16S ribosomal RNA". It matches the Rfam family "Bacterial small subunit ribosomal RNA". The record is from RNAcentral. RNAcentral also lists the same sequence under 2 other names. Lineage: Bacteria; Bacillati; Bacillota; Bacilli; Caryophanales; Staphylococcaceae.